RNAcentral lists this non-coding RNA (259 nucleotides) under Perkinsus marinus ATCC 50983. RNAcentral describes it as "Eukaryotic large subunit ribosomal RNA". It matches the Rfam family "Eukaryotic large subunit ribosomal RNA", at positions 3148 to 3401 of the family's 3401-position model. Lineage: Eukaryota; Perkinsozoa; Perkinsida; Perkinsidae. The record is from Rfam by way of RNAcentral.
GGAUAAGCAGUGUUGUACACCGUGCUCAAUGCUACAAGAAAAAAGGCUAGGUCAGGCUUCGCCCUGACCAAAAUUCCAAGCUGCUAUACCUCUGGCUGCAUUGACUUGUGGUCAGAGUGUAUGGUGAUCAUAGCAAUUGCAAGUAUUGGGCUCGAUAAAUCCUUUGAAGACGACUUAAUUGCAUCCGGGUAUUGUAAGUGUUGAGAGUAGGCUUAGUCUUACGAUCCACUGAGAUUCAUCCCGUGUUGCGCCGAUUUGU